Amaranthus tricolor (Joseph's coat) is the source of this 2630-nucleotide RNA transcript. RefSeq lists it as uncharacterized. The transcript has 2 exons. Lineage: Eukaryota; Viridiplantae; Streptophyta; Magnoliopsida; Caryophyllales; Amaranthaceae. The record is from RefSeq and is a predicted model, not a curated record.
CUUGAUACAAGUCAUUUGACUGCGUUGUUCUAUCACCAUCUUCAUUCGCCAUUAAAGGUACUCUAAACCGCAGAGUUCUUCUCUUCUAGAAAUUAUUUUAGAAACAUUUUCUUUGUUUAUCUUUACUUUAUUGUUUAGUACUUCUAAUUUAAUUCAAUCAAUUGCUGGAAAAGCGGCAUCGUGAUUUUUCAUGGAAAAAAUUGAAUUGAUGCUUCCUGAGACCAGCUAUAUCAACGCUCGAUCAUCUGACAUGGUGGCUUGUAUCUUUUUCAAUCAUUCCACCUUUGUCCCGAUCUGAUACAUUUUACCUUUAGUUUUCCUUUUCUUAAUUUUUAAUUAUUUAUUUCUCCAUUUGUUUUUUCAAACUAAUUAUAAUUGAAUUUCGAAAAGAAUUGGAUCCAGACUUAGUCAGGUGUCAGAGUUUGAUUUAAUCAAGUAGCUGAUGCAGUUACGAGUCUGGUAAAUUGAAUUAGGGCCUAUCGUUACAGAUGUUUAUUUUACGAUGUUUACAUCUGCUCCAUUUAGGUUCUACAUUUCAAAUCGAUAAUUAUCUCUAUAUUUAUCAGAAUUAGUUUUGAAUUGGCUGCAAAUGAUAACCUUAUAAUUUAUUAGUAACAUUUGUUUUUUAAUUGGAAUUAUCGACAUUAUUAGUAAUACUCUUAUCAGUUUCUAUUCUAUCAAUCCCAUUGCAAAUCAUGAAUCCUUGAGUUAUAUACUAGCACCAUUCUUCUGGUGAAGAAGUUGAUGAAACUAAUGGUUUGAUAAUAGGCACAACAUCUUAAAUCAUCGAUCUAUUACCGUUUAUUCGUUUGAACAUUCAAAAACAGUAUUUUCUUUCCUAUUCUUAUACUUCUAGUAUUUACUUUUUGGUACUGUUUACGAUUAACUUUUAAUUUCUAUUUAAUUGAUAGUUUAUAAUUUAAAAUAUAAUUGAAUUGAAUGUGAUGAUGAUUGGUUUAUCUCAAUAAAAAUUUUAUUGUUAUUAAUUUUUAAAAAUUUUUAUUCACAAAUGAAUAUAAAUAUUUAAUGUUAAAAUUGUUCAUUUAAUUAAUAUGUAUAAUUCAAAUGUAAAAUCUGAAUAAAAUAGAAUAAAAGUAUAUUUCGUUUUUCCUUUUUUUUUCCACUAGUUCGCAUAUAGUUUGAAAGAAAGAUAGUGAUAAUGAGACUUGAACUUUAGAUUUUUAACUUAUUAUGGCCUUGGCAAAGAAUAAGAAAAUUUGAACAAACUAAGAAAAAUACAUAAAAAAAAGUUACCAAAAUAGGUUUCAGAAAAACUUAAUUCCCGAUAUAAGCACGUAAAUCUCUAAAUUUGAGUUAGGAGGCUGCCUGCUGUCACUAACAGCGGAUCAUAUGCGAACAAAAAAUUUGAUUAAGGUAUAUGGGAAAAUAAUCGUUCGCUCUUAAUAAGAGCGGACCAUUACACAUCCAAAAGUUAACAACAGUUAAAAAAGUCAAUCCAAUUGCCCGCUAUUACUAUAAGCAGGCGAUUGCUUUGCAGAAUUUUUUGACUCAAUUUUAGUAAUUAUCAGUUGUUUCUAAUAGCGAACAAAUUCAUACCUUAGAAAUCACUUUGGCUGGAGAUGAUUAUUUUGGAAAAUGUGUCUUGGAACAAAUUAAUCUAUAACAUUUUCAAUAUCAACAUCCUCGAAAUCACUUUCAAUUGCCAUUAGUACACGCCCGUUUAGCUUUUCUAGUGAAAUAUCCAGGAUAGCAAAUAUGAUUUCAACAAUUUUCGCUGAUUUCAACAAUUUUCGCUUGGAAAAGCUUCGAUCUGGUAGAUGCAAUAAGGAUAUGAAUAGUCAAUAAAAUUCUAUAAGCAAUUGUUGCAUUUGGGAAGCAAGUAAAAGAUUUUAUAAUUUAUAAUAUAUGUAUAUAAUAUGUCAAUUGCUCUAGGUGUGUUUGGUUGCAUCAUUUUUAAUGGUAUGGAAUGGUAUCACAACCAUUCCAAUGUUUGGUUAGGCAUUUUUACAUUGGGAUGUCAUACCCUUUGGAUUCUCAUCUCAUUUCAUUCCUUAGAAUCCCAUACCCUCCUAACCCCCCAAGAUUCAACAUCCAUUCCAGCCAUAUUCAAACCCUCAAAUCCUCAUUCUCCUUCAUCCUGUCUCGUCUCACUGCUCUUCUUUCUUUCUGUCUUACCUUCGCUGUUCCGUCCCAACCAUCGCAUAUCCACCUCCUUGUUGCACUCUUGUUGCUGCCCUAACCACCGUCACCCGCCGAUUUCAUAUGGUACUUUGAAUUAAUAUCAAGAUGGCUGGGAUUUCAAGUUUUGGUGCCCUUGCACCCAAAACUAAGAACCUGAUCGUUGUGGGGGGACUGACUUCGUUUGUUUUUGGAGUGUACUUUUACACAAUGCGAGCUGUUGGAGGUACCGAUGAACUUCAGGUGGCCAUUGACAAGUUUGAAGACCAGAAACACCAGAGUGAGUCCAAAGCAAAUUAGGGAUACAUGCUCAAUCAUGCUGUGCACUCCUGAUUUGGCAUCAUGCUGAUUUGGCAUCAUGUACUAGACUUUGUGUUUUGUUGUCAAAAACAUAUAUUGGAAUCUUUUUGUGUAGAGAUGUAUUGACACCAUUUUGAGUGAAAAUAUAUUGAACUAGUACUUUGUGUGUAUGUAUUUGUGUGUUUAAUAAA